This 433-nucleotide ribosomal RNA is filed under the name uncultured bacterium. RNAcentral describes it as "partial 16S ribosomal RNA". It matches the Rfam family "Bacterial small subunit ribosomal RNA", at positions 29 to 507 of the family's 1533-position model. The record is from RNAcentral.
AACGAACGCUGGCGGCAUGCCUAACACAUGCCAGUCGAACGAUGCCUUCGGGCAUAGUGGCGCACGGGUGCGUAACGCGUGGGAAUCUGCCUUUCGGUUCGGAAUAACUCAGGGAAACUUGAGCUAAUACCGGAUAACGUCGCAAGACCAAAGAUUUAUCACCGAAAGAUGAGCCCGCGUAGGAUUGGCUAGUUGGUGAGGUAAAGGCUCACCAAGGCGACGAUCCUUAGCUGGGCUGAGAGGCUGAUCAGCCACACUGGGACUGAGACACGGCCCAGACUCCUACGGGAGGCAGCAGUGGGGAAUAUUGGACAAUGGGGGAAAGCCUGAUCCAGCAAUGCCGCGUGAGUGAUGAAGGCCUUAGGGUUGUAAAGCUCUUUUACCCGGGAAGAUAAUGACGGUACCGGGAGAAUAAGCCCCGGCUAACUCCGUG